Acinonyx jubatus (cheetah) is the source of this 927-nucleotide long non-coding RNA. RefSeq lists it as uncharacterized. The transcript has 2 exons. Lineage: Eukaryota; Metazoa; Chordata; Mammalia; Carnivora; Felidae. The record is from RefSeq and is a predicted model, not a curated record.
GAAAAAAAUUUUGGAUGACAACUGAAAAUAUGCAGGAAGCUACACAGUUUUAAACAAUUCUUUUGGGGGUUAUGUAAGCAACAUACUUACAGAUUCCUGGGCUAAGAUAAUGCAUUUCAAGAAAAGAAGGCCCUCUCUUUGUAUCUCUUUGGUCUCUUUUCUUCUUGGAAGCCAAUGGCUAAUGACAGGCACGCAGUGCACUUGAGCAGGAUUCCAUGCUCGAUGGCAGCCCUUUGCUUUCUUCAGUGAGAACCAAGCUUAUUUUGAUAAUGUUUUCUUUUCUCUUUUCUCCGUGGUAGAUUUCCACUGUCACACAGCCAUGAGCACAUCAGGAGGACUCAAGAAUCAUAUAAAGCUGCAACUGCUUCUUGCAACUUUUCUUCCUGCGGUUUACAAACCCCACUCCUCGGGUUCCACAGACCCUCCCUCCGGCUCACUGAUGGAGUCCGGGACUCUUGGGAGAUGAUGACAAUCAGCUGUCGUGGUUUAGACGGCUCCAUGUCUCAAAUCUCAAGCCCUCACCUCACUCUUAACUCCAGACCUACAUUUCCAACUCUUCACCAAGCAUAUUCUGCUUGAAAACCCACUGUAAAGUCAAACUCAAGAUGUCAGAGAUGUAACUGCUAUCUCUUCCCUUUAAUAUUUGCUGCAUGGGUUGUCUACCUGAUGAAGCUUCCUGUGGCGCUAUUUUGAUCCUUUCACACUUACUUGCUCAAAAGCCUUUGGUGGGGGGUGCCUGGGUGGCUCAGUUGGUUGAGUGUCCAACUUCGCCUCAGGUCAUGGUCUUGUGGUUUUGGGGUUUGAUCCCCACGACAGGCUCUAUGCUGACAGCUCAGAGCCUGGACCCUGCUUCAGAUUCUGUGUUUCCCUCUCUCUCUGACCUUCCCCUGCACAUGCUCUGUCUCUCUCCUUCUCUCUCUCUCUCUC